AGUUCAUAAAGACGUCUGACCGUACUCCGGAUUUCCAUAAAAGCGCUGGACUACCUUCAAGAAUUCCCAACUCUGGGAUAGAUAGAUCGCCCCGGCAGCUUUCUCAUCCAAUUCUUCUACUUGAGUAAGUACUACCGGGCUUGGAAAUUUCAUUUUUCCCUUUUUUAAGGGUUUGUACGCCUUCCCUUUCUUAGAGUGUUCUGUUGUUCUGAGCUAAGAUGGGGAAUUGCUUCUAUUAUAUUAGAUCCGCCUUUUAGCUUGGCACGUUGAU
Molecule: long non-coding RNA, 271 nt
Filed under: Nicotiana benthamiana
Lineage: Eukaryota; Viridiplantae; Streptophyta; Magnoliopsida; Solanales; Solanaceae
Description: long non-coding RNA (NBEN_LNC005874)
Source: RNAcentral